This 537-nucleotide ribosomal RNA is filed under the name Phonoctonus sp. 00051666. RNAcentral describes it as "partial 16S ribosomal RNA". It matches the Rfam family "Bacterial large subunit ribosomal RNA", at positions 1808 to 2611 of the family's 2925-position model. The record is from RNAcentral. Lineage: Eukaryota; Metazoa; Arthropoda; Insecta; Hemiptera; Reduviidae.
CAAAAACAUGUCCUUUUGUGAUUAUAAAUAUAAGGUCUGACCUGCCCAAUGAUUAAUUAUUGAAUGGCCGCGGUAUUUUAACUGUGCUAAGGUAGCAUAAUCAUUUGUCUUUUAAUUAAAGGCUAGAAUGAACGGUUGGACAAGGUGUAAGCUUUCUUUAAUUUAGUUAUUGAAUUUAAUUUUUUAGUUAAAAAGCUAAAAUGUAUUUGAGGGACGAGAAGACCCUAUAGAUCUUUAUAUAUUUACUUAUUAUUUAUUUUAGUGAUUAUUAUUGUUUAUAAUAAAUACUUGUAUUUGAUUGGGGUGAUUGUAGAAUUUUAAUAACUACUAUUUUUAUUUUUCAUUAAUUAGUGUUAUCUUGAUCCAUUAUUAUUGAUUAUAAGAUUAAGUUACCUUAGGGAUAACAGCGUAAUUUCUUCUGAGAGCCCAUAUCGAUGAAGGAGUUUGCGACCUCGAUGUUGGAUUAAAAUAAGUUAUAGGUGUAGGAGCUUAUAUACUAGGUCUGUUCGACCUUUGAUUUUUUACAUGAUCUGAGUU